GGCGGCAUGCCUUACACAUGCAAGUCGAACGGCAGCACGGGAGCAAUCCUGGUGGCGAGUGGCGAACGGGUGAGUAAUACAUCGGAACGUGUCCUGGAGUGGGGGAUAGCCCGGCGAAAGCCGGAUUAAUACCGCAUACGCUCUAUGGAGGAAAGUGGGGGAUCUUUCGGGACCUCGCGCUCAAGGGGCGGCCGAUGGCAGAUUAGCUAGUUGGUGGGGUAAAGGCCUACCAAGGCGACGAUCUGUAGCUGGUCUGAGAGGACGACCAGCCACACUGGGACUGAGACACGGCCCAGACUCCUACGGGAGGCAGCAGUGGGGAAUUUUGGACAAUGGGCGCAAGCCUGAUCCAGCAAUGCCGCGUGUGUGAAGAAGGCCUUCGGGUUGUAAAGCACUUUUGUCCGGAAAGAAAUCCUUUGGGCUAAUACCCCGGGGGGAUGACGGUACCGGAAGAAUAAGCACCGGCUAACUACGUGCCAGCAGCCGCGGUAAUACGUA
Molecule: ribosomal RNA, 498 nt
Filed under: uncultured beta proteobacterium
Lineage: Bacteria; Pseudomonadati; Pseudomonadota; Betaproteobacteria
Description: bacterial SSU rRNA
Rfam family: Bacterial small subunit ribosomal RNA
Source: RNAcentral